UUCCUACGGGAGGCAGCAGUGAGGAAUAUUGCGCAAUGGGGGAAACCCUGACGCAGCGACGCCGCGUGAGUGAGGAAGGCCUUCGGGUCGUAAAGCUCUGUCAGAUGGGAAGAAGUGCUAUACGGUUAAUACCCGUAUGGUUUGACGGUACCAUCAGAGGGAGCACCGGCUAACUCCGUGCCAGCAGCCGCGGUAAUACGGAGGGUGCGAGCGUUGUUCGGAAUCACUGGGCGUAAAGGGCGCGCAGGCGGCUUGUUAAGUCAGAUGUGAAAGCCCACGGCUUAACCGUGGAAGUGCAUUUGAAACUGGCAGGCUUGAGUACCAGAGGGGAAGGUGGAAUUCCCGGUGUAGAGGUGAAAUUCGUAGAUAUCGGGAGGAAUACCGGUGGCGAAGGCGACUUUCUGGCUGGAUACUGACGCUGAGGCGCGAAAGCGUGGGGAGCAAACAGGAUUAGAUACCCUGGUAGUCCACGCCGUAAACGAUGUGAACUAGAUGUUGGAGGUAUUGAUCCCUUCGGUGUCGGAGCUAACGCAUUAAGUUCACCGCCUGGGGAGUACGGUCGCAAGAUUAAAACUCAAAUGAAUUGACGGAA
Molecule: ribosomal RNA, 592 nt
Filed under: uncultured delta proteobacterium
Lineage: Bacteria; Deltaproteobacteria
Description: bacterial SSU rRNA
Rfam family: Bacterial small subunit ribosomal RNA
Source: RNAcentral